CUGGCUUCUUUUCUAUGCCUUUAAGAAGGACCUCUCAGCCAGCUGAAGUCAAGGAGAUUCCAUGAUCUCACCCCUACUUAAAAGAAACUCAGAGCUCAUCUCCUGCAGGACCUGCCAAAUCUUCCAACAGAACAAAAGAACCAAGCCAAAACUCAGUUCAAACAAUAUGGUCAGAACACUAUAAGCUGUUUUGGAAUUCAUCACAAGGAAGAAAUACAGAAAUUAAUUCCCCUUUA
This is a long non-coding RNA of Cervus elaphus (red deer), 236 nucleotides long. RefSeq lists it as uncharacterized. The transcript is spliced from 2 exons. The record is from RefSeq and is a predicted model, not a curated record. Lineage: Eukaryota; Metazoa; Chordata; Mammalia; Artiodactyla; Cervidae.